AUACAAAUAAGAAUGUGUGACUUCCAUUUUAGGGCAAUACACAAAAUGAACAAUACACUGAAUUCUGGCAUGCAAUUGAUGUAUCAUGGCAUGCAUAGGUAGACCCCUAGCACAAUACACAAAAUGAACAAUACACUGAAUUUUGACACGCAAUUGACGUAUCAUGGUACACAUAGGUAGACCACCUGGCAUAAUACACAAAAUGAAUAAUAUACUGAAUUUCGACAUGCAAUUGACAUAUCAUGGGAUGCAUUGGAAGAGACACAUGGUCUCUGACUGCCUUCCCUCUGAAUAAAUUGAUCAGCACC
RNAcentral lists this long non-coding RNA (308 nucleotides) under Elaeis guineensis (African oil palm). Its description in RNAcentral is "long non-coding RNA (EGUI_LNC036741)". Lineage: Eukaryota; Viridiplantae; Streptophyta; Magnoliopsida; Arecales; Arecaceae. The record is from RNAcentral.